CCUACGGGAGGCAGCAGUGAGGAAUAUUGGUCAAUGGACGGAAGUCUGAACCAGCCAUGCCGCGUGCAGGAAGACGGCUCUAUGAGUUGUAAACUGCUUUUGUACAAGGGUAAACCUGAAUACGUGUAUUCAGCUGAAAGUACUGUACGAAUAAGGAUCGGCUAACUCCGUGCCAGCAGCCGCGGUAAUACGGAGGAUCCAAGAGUUAUCCGGAUUUAUUGGGUUUAAAGGGUGCGUAGGCGGAUUGAUAAGUUAGAGGUUAAAUGUGCGAGCUUAACUCGGGAACGGCCUAUAAUACUGUUGAUCUAGAGAGUAGAUGCGGUAGGCGGAAUGUAUGGUGUAGCGGUGAAAUGCUUAGAGAUCAUACAGAACACCGAUUGCGAAGGCAGCUUACCAAUCUAUAUCUGACGUUGAGGCACGAAAGCGUGGGGAGCAAACAGGAUUAGAUACCCUUGUAGUC
This 460-nucleotide ribosomal RNA is filed under the name uncultured bacterium. RNAcentral describes it as "partial 16S ribosomal RNA". It matches the Rfam family "Bacterial small subunit ribosomal RNA", at positions 338 to 795 of the family's 1533-position model. The record is from RNAcentral.